RNAcentral lists this transfer RNA (75 nucleotides) under Candidatus Anoxychlamydiales bacterium. Its description in RNAcentral is "tRNA-Ala". It matches the Rfam family "tRNA". From Rfam's summary of the family: Transfer RNA (tRNA) molecules are approximately 80 nucleotides in length. Their secondary structure includes four short double-helical elements and three loops (D, anti-codon, and T loops). Further hydrogen bonds mediate the characteristic L-shaped molecular structure. tRNAs have two regions of fundamental functional importance: the anti-codon, which is responsible for specific mRNA codon recognition, and the 3' end, to which the tRNAs corresponding amino acid is attached (by aminoacyl-tRNA synthetases). tRNAs cope with the degeneracy of the genetic code in two manners: having more than one tRNA (with a specific anti-codon) for a particular amino acid; and 'wobble' base-pairing, i.e. permitting non-standard base-pairing at the 3rd anti-codon position. The record is from RNAcentral. Lineage: Bacteria; Pseudomonadati; Chlamydiota; Chlamydiia; Candidatus Anoxychlamydiales.
UGGGGCGUUAGCUCAAUUGGUAGAGUGCGACAAUGGCAUUGUCGAGGUCAUCGGUUCGAUUCCGAUACGCUCCAU